GGAGAGAUGGCUGAGCGGUCGAAAGCGAUAGUCUUGAAAACUAUUGUAGGGCAACCUACCCAGGGUUCGAAUCCCUGUCUCUCCGCCA
Molecule: transfer RNA, 88 nt
Filed under: Candidatus Peregrinibacteria bacterium
Lineage: Bacteria; Candidatus Peregrinibacteriota
Also listed under: 1 other name
Description: tRNA-Ser
Rfam family: tRNA
About the family: Transfer RNA (tRNA) molecules are approximately 80 nucleotides in length. Their secondary structure includes four short double-helical elements and three loops (D, anti-codon, and T loops).
Source: RNAcentral